UACGUAGGGGGCAAGCGUUGUCCGGAAUCAUUGGGCGUAAAGAGCUCGUAGGCGGUCUGUCGCGUCGGCUGUGAAAUCCCGAGGCUCAACCUCGGGUCUGCAGUCGAUACGGGCAAACUUGAGUGUUGCAGGGGAGACUGGAAUUCCUGGUGUAGCGGUGAAAUGCGCAGAUAUCAGGAGGAACACCGGUGGCGAAGGCGGGUCUCUGGGCAACAACUGACGCUGAGGAGCGAAAGCGUGGGGAGCGAACAGG
Molecule: ribosomal RNA, 253 nt
Filed under: uncultured bacterium
Lineage: Bacteria
Description: partial 16S ribosomal RNA
Rfam family: Bacterial small subunit ribosomal RNA
Source: RNAcentral